This 660-nucleotide ribosomal RNA is filed under the name uncultured bacterium. RNAcentral describes it as "bacterial SSU rRNA". It matches the Rfam family "Bacterial small subunit ribosomal RNA", at positions 94 to 788 of the family's 1533-position model. The record is from RNAcentral.
AGUGGCGGACGGGUGAGUAACGCGUGAGAAUCUGCCUUGGGGUCGGGGACAACCACUGGAAACGGUGGCUAAUACCGGAUACGCCUUCGGGUAAAAGAUUUAUUGCCCUAAGAGGAGCUCGCGUCUGAUUAGCUAGUUGGUGAGGUAAGAGCUCACCAAGGCAGCGAUCAGUAGCUGGUCUGAGAGGACGAUCAGCCACACUGGGACUGAGACACGGCCCAGACUCCUACGGGAGGCAGCAGUGGGGAAUUUUCCGCAAUGGGCGAAAGCCUGACGGAGCAAGACCGCGUGAGGGAGGAAGGCUCUUGGGUUGUAAACCUCUUUUCUCAGGGAAGAAGAUCUGACGGUACCUGAGGAAUUAGCCUCGGCUAACUCCGUGCCAGCAGCCGCGGUAAUACGGAGGAGGCAAGCGUUAUCCGGAAUUAUUGGGCGUAAAGCGUCCGCAGGUGGCGAUUCAAGUCUGCUGUCAAAGCACGGGGCUUAACUCCGUAAAGGCAGUGGAAACUGAAUAGCUAGAGUGCCGUAGGGGUAGAGGGAAUUCCCGGUGUAGCGGUGAAAUGCGUAGAGAUCGGGAAGAACAUCGGUGGCGAAAGCGCUCUACUGGACGGCAACCGACACUCAGGGACGAAAGCUAGGGGAGCGAAUGGGAUUAGAUACCCC